RNAcentral lists this ribosomal RNA (509 nucleotides) under Giardia lamblia ATCC 50803. RNAcentral's name for it is "eukaryotic LSU rRNA". It matches the Rfam family "Eukaryotic large subunit ribosomal RNA", at positions 1855 to 2505 of the family's 3401-position model. The record is from RNAcentral. Lineage: Eukaryota; Fornicata; Diplomonadida; Hexamitidae.
CGCAGCAGGACUCCGGGGUCAGCAGCCUCUAGCGCGGGAGCGAACGCGGCUCAGGGAAGUCGGCAAGCCGGCUCCGUAACCUCGGGAAAAGGAGUGGCUCUGACGGCGCGCCGGGUCAGAACUGGAACGGACGCGGGGAUCCCGACUGUUUACUAGAAACACAGCGUCGCGAGGGCCGCACCCGGCGCUGGCGCGACGUGAUUUCUGCCCAGUGCCACGACCGUCACCGUGAAGCGAUCCGCCGAAGCCCUGGUAAACGGCGGGAGUAACUAUGACUCUCUUAAGGUAGCCAAAUGCCUCGUCGGGCAAUUUCCGACGUGCAUGAAUGGACCAACGAGGAUCCCACUGUCCCGAGCCGCGCCUCCGCGAGCCUCCAGCCUCGGGAACGGGCGAGGGCCGGCCAGCGGGGCAAGAAGACCCUUUUGAGCUUGACUCCAGCCCGGGCCUGUGGGGCGGGGCGGCCGGCGCAGCGCACCAGGGGAGGCCGUGCCCCUGAGACACCCUGACGG